Hippopotamus amphibius kiboko is the source of this 104-nucleotide small nuclear RNA. The record is from RefSeq and is a predicted model, not a curated record. NCBI's taxonomy places the organism in Eukaryota, Metazoa, Chordata, Mammalia, Artiodactyla, Hippopotamidae.
GUGCUUGCUUCAGCAGCUUAUCUACUAAAAUUGGAACCAUGUGGAGAUUAGUGUGGCCCCCGCACAAGGAUGACACGCAUAUUAGUGAAGCAUUCCAUAUUUAA